GAUGAACGCUGGCGGCGUGCCUAAUACAUGCAAGUCGAGCGAACGGACGAGAAGCUUGCUUCUCUGAUGUUAGCGGCGGACGGGUGAGUAACACGUGGAUAACCUACCUAUAAGACUGGGAUAACUUCGGGAAACCGGAGCUAAUACCGGAUAAUAUUUUGAACCGCAUGGUUCAAAAGUGAAAGACGGUCUUGCUGUCACUUAUAGAUGGAUCCGCGCUGCAUUAGCUAGUUGGUAAGGUAACGGCUUACCAAGGCAACGAUGCAUAGCCGACCUGAUAGGGUGAUCGGCCACACUGGAACUGAGACACGGUCCAGACUCCUACGGGAGGCAGCAGUAGGGAAUCUUCCGCAAUGGGCGAAAGCCUGACGGAGCAACGCCGCGUGAGUGAUGAAGGUCUUCGGAUCGUAAAACUCUGUUAUUAGGGAAGAACAUAUGUGUAAGUAACUGUGCACAUCUUGACGGUACCUAAUCAGAAAGCCACGGCUAACCACGUG
RNAcentral lists this ribosomal RNA (497 nucleotides) under uncultured bacterium. RNAcentral describes it as "partial 16S ribosomal RNA". It matches the Rfam family "Bacterial small subunit ribosomal RNA", at positions 28 to 507 of the family's 1533-position model. The record is from RNAcentral.